This 231-nucleotide ribosomal RNA is filed under the name Triticum aestivum (bread wheat). RNAcentral's name for it is "partial small subunit ribosomal RNA". The record is from RNAcentral. Lineage: Eukaryota; Viridiplantae; Streptophyta; Magnoliopsida; Poales; Poaceae.
AUCCCUUCCCACUGGCAGCAAUCCGUGCCAUGCUGCCAGGACGCAGCGAGGUCACCGUGCUGUGAGAGCCCGGCGAGGAACUGGAGAAGGGAGCCCUUCUCCUGCUCCGUGCAGGAACUGGCAGGAGAGGCCAAGCAGAUCAACAGCACAAGAGCAAACCCAUGGUGCAAUAUCUUGCUGUAUGUCUUGAUGGAAAAAUGGAGUGUCUGCAUGGUGUUUUGGCGAGACUAG